AAAAGGAGGAAAGGGCGACAAAAAAGGCAAAAAGAAAUAAGGAAAAUUAUGACAAGAGUCCUUUACUCGUUUUUGUUUCUUUUCUAUUCUUUUCUUUUUGCGGUGAUGGUAAUAGAGUGACAGGCAUUUCGUUCGUAGCAUGCAAAUGUUGAGAGCUGUAAGUGUAGGUAAAUAGACGACCAAGUAAUGAGUCAUUAUUUUCUUCCCAUUUUCUUUUCCUUGACAUAUACGAAAUGAAAGUGCAAAAU
RNAcentral lists this non-coding RNA (248 nucleotides) under Ochromonas sp. CCMP1393. Lineage: Eukaryota; Chrysophyceae; Chromulinales; Chromulinaceae. The record is from RNAcentral.